GAACGCUAGCGACAGGCUUAACACAUGCAAGUCGAGGGCAGUCACGGGAGUAGCAAUACGAACUGGUGGCGACCGGCGCACGGGUGAGUAACGCGUAUGCAACCUACCUAUCAGACGGGGAAUAACCCGGCGAAAGUCGGACUAAUACCGCAUAAAACAGGGGCACCGCAUGGUGAUAUUUGUUAAAGAAAUUCGCUGAUAGAUGGGCAUGCGUUCCAUUAGGUAGUUGGUGAGGUAACGGCUCACCAAGCCGACGAUGGAUAGGGGAACUGAGAGGUUGGUCCCCCACACUGGUACUGAGACACGGACCAGACUCCUACGGGAGGCAGCAGUGAGGAAUAUUGGUCAAUGGGCGGGAGCCUGAACCAGCCAAGUCGCGUGAAGGAAAGAAGGAUCUAUGGUUCGUAAACUUCUUUUGCAGGGGAAUAAAGUGCAGGACGUGUCCUGUUUUGUAUGUACCCUGAGAAUAAGGAUCGGCUAACUCCGUGCCAGCAGCUGC
Molecule: ribosomal RNA, 499 nt
Filed under: uncultured bacterium
Lineage: Bacteria
Description: bacterial SSU rRNA
Rfam family: Bacterial small subunit ribosomal RNA
Source: RNAcentral